UUAUGCAAAAUAAAAAUAUAAUAAAAUCAAUUAAAGAAUGUAUAGUUGACACCGAAUAAGAAGAUCCUGUUUCGUGGCUUAUCAUAUUCCAUUAGUGCUUUCUCACUCGUUUAAAUUCGUUUGUUUGUCAAGUAUCUUCUUGUUUGGUGUCAGGUUCAGUAAUAAUAAUAUUACAAAAGAUGGAGUAUACACAAAAACACAAAAUACUUUUACAAACAUUUGUGCACGAAGGUGUUCUUGAUGAGAAUAAUGCAAAAGAAUUAGUUAUUAAAUUAUUUGACGUUGAUAACGUGCCACUUAUCAUAAAUCAGAUAAAUGAGCAACUACAGCCCUUGGAUAUGUUAAUCAAAAGAUGUGAGUGCGAAAUUACAGGUGAAUUGUUUUGGAUUUUUGCAAAUACAGAGCUCGACGAAGUAACCAGAUAUCAAGAUGAAUUUUCAGAAAUGCAAUUAGCUUUGUUAAGAAACGUAUUUUCUGAAAUCAUAACAUCGAACGAUGGGUCUGUAAAAAGUAUGUUUUGCCUUAAUUUAUGUUCAUUAGAGGAUGUUAAGAUGUCGAAAGCAGAAGCUGAAGAAUUUUUAAAUGACAUGGUUGAUAGAAAAUGGUUAGCUUAUAAGAAUGGUAAUUAUUAUAUGGGUGUAAGGAGUAUAACAGAAUUAAUGCCAUAUUUUAGAGUUACUUAUAAAAGCAAUUUAAGUACCUGCUGUCUUUGUAAACAAGCUAUUUUUCAUGGUGAGAGAUGUAACAAUUGUCAGGCUAUGUUACAUUUACACUGUUUAAAGCGAUAUGCUACAGUUCAUAAUCCUGUUACUUGUCCCACUUGCAAAUCAGCAUUUCCCAAUACUACUCUGAUAUAAUUGAUAAUUUAGCAACAAUAUCGGACAAAGAUUAGAGCAUGUCAUAGAGGUUUUACCAGGCAACACUUGAAAAGCAGGAAUCAUUAAAACAUUAUCUAUCAACAAUUGUGUAAUAGCUUGUAAGAAUCUGUGAUUUACAACUAAGGUCCUUUUUGAUAUAAUACAAUUACUGAAAAGACUAUUGAUAUAUUUUUAGUAAAUAAAUAUUGUGUGAUAUAUG
Megalopta genalis is the source of this 1077-nucleotide non-coding RNA. Lineage: Eukaryota; Metazoa; Arthropoda; Insecta; Hymenoptera; Halictidae. The record is from RefSeq and is a predicted model, not a curated record.